Molecule: ribosomal RNA, 484 nt
Filed under: Vibrio harveyi
Lineage: Bacteria; Pseudomonadati; Pseudomonadota; Gammaproteobacteria; Vibrionales; Vibrionaceae
Description: bacterial SSU rRNA
Rfam family: Bacterial small subunit ribosomal RNA
Source: RNAcentral
GGCGGCAGGCCUAACACAUGCAAGUCGAGCGGAAACGAGUUAUCUGAACCUUCGGGGGACGAUAACGGCGUCGAGCGGCGGACGGGUGAGUAAUGCCUAGGAAAUUGCCCUGAUGUGGGGGAUAACCAUUGGAAACGAUGGCUAAUACCGCAUAAUGCCUACGGGCCAAAGAGGGGGACCUUCGGGCCUCUCGCGUCAGGAUAUGCCUAGGUGGGAUUAGCUAGUUGGUGAGGUAAUGGCUCACCAAGGCGACGAUCCCUAGCUGGUCUGAGAGGAUGAUCAGCCACACUGGAACUGAGACACGGUCCAGACUCCUACGGGAGGCAGCAGUGGGGAAUAUUGCACAAUGGGCGCAAGCCUGAUGCAGCCAUGCCGCGUGUGUGAAGAAGGCCUUCGGGUUGUAAAGCACUUUCAGUCGUGAGGAAGGUGGUGUAGUUAAUAGCUGCAUUAUUUGACGUUAGCGACAGAAGAAGCACCGGCUAAC